RNAcentral lists this ribosomal RNA (484 nucleotides) under uncultured bacterium. Its description in RNAcentral is "partial 16S ribosomal RNA". It matches the Rfam family "Bacterial small subunit ribosomal RNA", at positions 30 to 507 of the family's 1533-position model. The record is from RNAcentral.
AUUGAACGCUGGCGGCAGGCCUAACACAUGCAAGUCGAGCGGAUGAAGGGAGCUUGCUCCUGGAUUCAGCGGCGGACGGGUGAGUAAUGCCUAUGAAUCUGCCUGGCAGUGGGGGAUAACGUCCGGAAACGGGCGCUAAUACCGCAUACGUCCUGAGGGAGAAAGUGGGGGACCUUCGGACCUCACGCUAUCAGAUGAGCCUAGGUCGGAUUAGCUAGUUGGUGGGGUAAAGGCCUACCGGGGCGACGAUCCGUAACUGGUCUGAGAGGAUGAUCAGUCACACUGGAACUGAAACACGGUCCAGGCUCCUACGGGAGGCAGCAGUGGGGAAUGUUGGACAAUGGGCGAAAGCCUGAUCCAGCCAUGCCGCGUGUGUGAAGAAGGUCUUCGGAUUGUAAAGCACUUUAAGUUGGGAGGAAGGGCAGUAAGUUAAUACCUUGCUGUUUUGACGGUACCAACAGAAUAAGCACCGGCUAACUUCGUG